GAUGAACGCUGGCGGCGUGCCUAAUACAUGCAAGUCGAGCGAACAGACGAGGAGCUUGCUCCUCUGACGUUAGCGGCGGACGGGUGAGUAACACGUGGAUAACCUACCUAUAAGACUGGGAUAACUUCGGGACACCGGAGCUAAUACCGGAUAAUAUAUUGAACCGCAUGGUUCAAUAGUGAAAUACGGUUUUGCUGUCACUUCUAGCUGGAUCCGCGCCGCAUUAGCUAGUUGGUAAGGUAACGGCUUACCAAGGCAACGAUGCGUAGCCGACCUGAGAGGGGGAUCGGCCACACGGGAACGGAGACACGGUCCAGACUCCUACGGGAGGCAGCAGUAGGGAAUCUUCCGCAAUGGGCGAAAGCCUGACGGAGCAACGCCGCGUGAGUGAUGAAGGUCUUCGGAUCGUAAAACUCUGUUAUGAGGGAAGAACAAAUGUGUAAGUAACUAUGCACGUCUUGACGGUACCUAAUCAGAAAGCCACGGCUAACUACGUG
This 497-nucleotide ribosomal RNA is filed under the name uncultured bacterium. RNAcentral's name for it is "partial 16S ribosomal RNA". It matches the Rfam family "Bacterial small subunit ribosomal RNA", at positions 28 to 507 of the family's 1533-position model. The record is from RNAcentral.